Molecule: ribosomal RNA, 429 nt
Filed under: Bacteroidota bacterium
Lineage: Bacteria; Pseudomonadati; Bacteroidota
Description: Bacteroidetes bacterium partial 16S ribosomal RNA
Rfam family: Bacterial small subunit ribosomal RNA
Source: RNAcentral
UAGGGAAUCUUCCGCAAUGGACGCAAGUCUGACGGAGCAACGCCGCGUGAGUGAAGAAGGAUUUCGGUUCGUAAAACUCUGUUGUUAGAGAAGAACAGCGCAUAGAGUAACUGUUAUGCGUGUGACGGUAUCUAACCAGAAAGCCACGGCUAACUACGUGCCAGCAGCCGCGGUAAUACGUAGGUGGCAAGCGUUGUCCGGAUUUAUUGGGCGUAAAGCGAGCGCAGGCGGUCAAUUAAGUCUGAUGUGAAAGCCCCCGGCUCAACCGGGGAGGGUCAUUGGAAACUGGUUGACUUGAGUGCAGAAGAGGAGAGUGGAAUUCCAUGUGUAGCGGUGAAAUGCGUAGAUAUAUAGAGGAACACCAGUGGAGAGGGCGACUCUCUAGUCUGUAACUGACGCUGAGGCUCGAAAGCGUAGGUAGCAAACAGG